UACGUAGGGUGCAAGCGUUAAUCGGAAUUACUGGGCGUAAAGCGUGCGCAGGCGGUUGUGCCAGACAGAUGUGAAAUCCCCGGGCUUAACCUGGGAACUGCAUUUGUGACUGCACAGCUAGAGUGCGGCAGAGGGGGAUGGAAUUCCGCGUGUAGCAGUGAAAUGCGUAGAUAUGCGGAGGAACACCGAUGGCGAAGGCAAUCCCCUGGGCCUGCACUGACGCUCAUGCACGAAAGCGUGGGGAGCAAACAGG
RNAcentral lists this ribosomal RNA (253 nucleotides) under uncultured bacterium. Its description in RNAcentral is "partial 16S ribosomal RNA". It matches the Rfam family "Bacterial small subunit ribosomal RNA", at positions 524 to 776 of the family's 1533-position model. The record is from RNAcentral.